CCUACGGGCGGCAGCAGUGGGGAAUAUUGGACAAUGGGGGCAACCCUGAUCCAGCCAUGCCGCGUGUGUGAAGAAGGCCCCCGGGUUGUAAAGCACUUUCAGUGAGGAAGAACGCCUGGUGGUUAAUACCCAUCAGGAAAGACAUCACUCACAGAAGAAGCACCGGCUAACUCCGUGCCAGCAGCCGCGGUAAUACGGAGGGUGCGAGCGUUAAUCGGAAUUACUGGGCGUAAAGCGCGCGUAGGUGGCUUGAUAAGCCGGUUGUGAAAGCCCCGGGCUCAACCUGGGAACGGCAUCCGGAACUGUCAAGCUAGAGUGCAGGAGAGGAAGGUAGAAUUCCCGGUGUAGCGGUGAAAUGCGUAGAGAUCGGGAGGAAUACCAGUGGCGAAGGCGGCCUUCUGGACUGACACUGACACUGAGGUGCGAAAGCGUGGGUAGCAAACAGGAUUAGAUACCCUAGUAGUC
RNAcentral lists this ribosomal RNA (465 nucleotides) under Vreelandella stevensii. RNAcentral describes it as "partial 16S ribosomal RNA". It matches the Rfam family "Bacterial small subunit ribosomal RNA", at positions 338 to 795 of the family's 1533-position model. The record is from RNAcentral. Lineage: Bacteria; Pseudomonadati; Pseudomonadota; Gammaproteobacteria; Oceanospirillales; Halomonadaceae.